This is a long non-coding RNA of Schistocerca serialis cubense, 1287 nucleotides long. RefSeq lists it as uncharacterized. The record is from RefSeq and is a predicted model, not a curated record. Lineage: Eukaryota; Metazoa; Arthropoda; Insecta; Orthoptera; Acrididae. The transcript has 4 exons.
UUUCAUCAUGGCGUCUCGUGUGACAGACGGUCCUGUGGUCUGUCGUGGCGGUAGAUCGCAACUUGAAGCAAAUGGCGUUGCGGUUUGUAAUGACGGGACUACUGUAAUUUCAUUGGUUGAAAUACUAUUGUGAUUCAUAUUGAAUUGUACAUGCAUUCUACGAAUGUCUGUAACAUCGGUUGCAUAUUGAGUUUUUGUUAACUCUUAAAUGAAUGUUCCUUCAAAAUAAAAUUUGUAAAAAUUUUAAUUUUUGUGUAUGUAAAUUAUUCUUAUUUAUUAAAAAAUGGUUCUUUUGUCAGAUUACACAGGCCAACAUGGUAAAUGAAAUGCGGGCAGUUCAGCUACUUAUUGGCGGAAAUGGUCGUGGAGUGUUUUUGCCGACGAAGUUUCAGCAUAAAUGUUAAUCAGAGUUAAAUGGCAUCUUGACAUCUUCUGUAUGAUGAAGACGUGCUCUAUGGCCAUUGCUCCUUAAUGGGUAUAUAUGACUUCUGGCAGUACUGGCUCACUGAAAGCAACGUUAUUGGUGCCUUGUGGAUGAAGUGAGGUGGAGUGUGAAACUGCACCAGCAUCAUGUACAUCUACAAGCACAAAUAUUCUCCAGUUUGUGGAUCGUUUAUUGAUGGCUAUAGGAUUUUUGUCACAUUUUUUCCAGUGAAUCGUGUGAGAGGCAGGGUUUUGUAAUGAUCCCAUGGAUUCUAAUGCAGGAAGCCAUAAUUUCUGUGAAAACUGGUGGAUGCUCAUUGAAUUCUGUAAGGAAACACACAUGGUCCUGUUGAUUGGCUAUUUAAGAAGAAUGAGGUAAUGAAAACAGCAGCUUGUAGCUCAGAUAAAAUUUACUCUGUGAUUGAAUGUUGGUUGCAAGGGCAAUGUUGCUGGCUGGUACACAGCAUGCCAUGUGUCAAUGCAUUUAAUGUAAACCUGUUUGACUCCUUAUUCUCUGCACUUUGUAAUGUGUUUUGCCUGACAAGGUUUUUCAUGUCUCUAAAAUGGUGACACAGUGAGUGCACAAAGCACGAGAAAAAACUGAAAUUGGCAGAUAAGUGGUCCUUUCCAUUCAACUUGCUGAAACAUCAAUCAGUUAUUUUAAUCGGUGCAUAGAAGUUAUACUUCUUUAAAGCUGGAGUAUUUGUUAAUGUAACAACAAUAAAUAUUUAUUUCGAUAAUUUCCUCCACAAGUUUUUAUUGUCUUUAUUUCUAAUUUUCCCGCUGUAUUUGAAAAAUUUUGAAUUGACUUUCAUACUUGUGAACUGGCUUUUAUUGCAUAGUUUUUGUGAAUCACUCAUUCAU